UACGGCAUUGUGGUGUUUGGGUCGGCUCGUGGGAUUGCCGCUCCACUCGAAGUCCAGCAUUGAGUAUGGUUUCUGGAUUUGGCCCAUAGAGGGUGAAAGGCCCGUGCGGGUGGAGUUUCAGACAUGAUUGGCAAUUCACCAGGCCGGCCUUAGAGUCGGGUUGUUUGGGAAUGCAGCCCAAAGUGGGUGGUAAACUCCAUCCAAGGCUAAAUACUAGCACGAGUCCGAUAGCGAACAAGUACCGUGAGGGAAAGUUGAAAAGUACUUUGAAGAGAGAGUAAACAGUACGUGAAACCGCAUGAAGGUAAACGGGUGGCGUCAAGCUGCAAGCCCAGAGGAUUCAGUCGGUCAGGAUGUUGUGUAUGUGCCUAGCGCAUCUAUCAGUCGAUUAUAGUUGAAUAGUCUGUUUGGUUAAAACAGGCCUGGUCGCAAGGCUAGGAUUUGCAGUCCGUUUGGUUGGCGGAGCAAGCUAUUCGAUUGUGGACUGUCUGGCCGAUGCACUUUCUCUGUGGUGAACACCACGACCGGUGGUACUGUCGGUCUGCUUUGGUCAAGUCCUUGUUAAUUGGCACUUGUUGUUAGUUAGCCUGGAUCACAUGCAAUUUCAGUGCACGGUGUUCAGAUGCUUCGGUAUUUGAGCAUGUUAUCGGAUGCUGGUUGUAAACGGAUUGUGUUGUAAGGUUGUAAAACUUGCAAUAUAGUCUGGUGGACCUUAGUGGUAAGAAUAACCGUACAGCGCACUGGUGUUAUCGGUCUCUAAAUCUAAUUGAUGCCCACAUUACAAGUGGUUAAUGCCGGUGUUGUCCUAAUUUGCCUAUGCUUCGAUCUGAUUGUCGUGUCGCCUGCACAAAGU
RNAcentral lists this ribosomal RNA (853 nucleotides) under Halysioncum sp. n. 2 FPLM-2013. RNAcentral's name for it is "eukaryotic LSU rRNA". It matches the Rfam family "Eukaryotic large subunit ribosomal RNA", at positions 136 to 633 of the family's 3401-position model. Lineage: Eukaryota; Metazoa; Platyhelminthes; Cestoda; Diphyllidea; Echinobothriidae. The record is from RNAcentral.